GAGGCAAUAGUUUAACGGAAAAACGCACACUGCUAAUGUGAUAUGCGGGUUCGAAUCCUGCUAGCCUCCC
This 70-nucleotide transfer RNA is filed under the name Chryseobacterium carnipullorum. RNAcentral describes it as "tRNA-Ser(gct)". It matches the Rfam family "tRNA". Rfam says of the family: Transfer RNA (tRNA) molecules are approximately 80 nucleotides in length. Their secondary structure includes four short double-helical elements and three loops (D, anti-codon, and T loops). The record is from RNAcentral. Lineage: Bacteria; Pseudomonadati; Bacteroidota; Flavobacteriia; Flavobacteriales; Weeksellaceae.